UACGGAGGUGGCGAGCGUUAUUCGGUAUGACUUGGUGUAAAGGGUCCGUAGGCGGCCUAGUAAGUGAAAGGUGAAAUCCUUCGGCUCAACCGAAGAAUUGCCUUUCAAACUGUUAGGCUUGAGGAUGGAAGAGGAGAGCGGAACUGUCGGUGUAAAGGUGAAAUUUGUGGAUAUCGACAGGAACGCCUGUGGAGAAGUCGGCUCUCUGGUCCAUUCCUGACGCUCAGGGACGAAAGCUAGGGUAGCAAACAGGAUUAGAUACCCCUGUA
RNAcentral lists this ribosomal RNA (269 nucleotides) under uncultured prokaryote. RNAcentral's name for it is "partial 16S ribosomal RNA". It matches the Rfam family "Bacterial small subunit ribosomal RNA", at positions 524 to 792 of the family's 1533-position model. The record is from RNAcentral.